GAAACCCAGUUGUCCUAAUCAUAUUAUCAUGUCUUCGUUCUUUGCUCCCUCACGACUGAUGAUGAGGAAUGGGGCUUCAUUUGCAUUGUGAUUAUAUUCAACAUGCUUAGGUACUUUAGAACAACGUUUGAGAAUGAAGUUGAGCUCGUUUUGGAUUCUGUUUGCAAAAUAUACUAGAAUUUUCAGGCAACUGUUAAUUGCAUUUUCGAGUGUCGAUCCAAAAGAUGGAUGAAAUUGGAAUCUUGCAAAAAUUCUGAGCUUCUCUUGUGUAUUAUUGUUCAGCGAUUUACACUUCUACGGUUACCCUUUCGAUUUUCUAUUCUUGUUUUUAUUGAAUUUUCCAUGUGUGUUCGAUUUUUUUGCUGGUGUUUAACGUUAACAAAUUUUAACUCGAAUUCUUUCGAUUUUCUUUGUUUUUUGUUCAAAAAUCCCAUGUGUGCUCGAUUUUGUCGUUGCGUUUAAGGUUAAGCAAAUUUGUUUGAGAUAUUUUGUUUUUCUUCAUUUUUUGUCUUCUCGUCUAUAUGUUUGUUCUAUUUCUUCUACUUUUAUUUCUAUUUGCUUGAUUACAUUUUUGCGUUUAGGUUUUACCAAUUUCGAGUGACAUUUUUUGUUACAUUCAGUUCUGGCCUCUUAUUUCUUGUGUGUUCUGCUUUGGUUACUUUUAAUUGGGCUCUAUUGUAGCUAAUUUUUUUACAAGGUCAGCAAAAAUUAGAAAUAGGAAACGACGUUGGUUUCUUUUUUGUAGUUUAAUAUGGUCUUUUCCUUGAUCUAUCUUCAUAACUAAAACUAUGUAUAUGAAGGUUUGCAUAUGCCUUCUUGCUAUUUGUAGUGGAAGUUUGCUGUCUUUCUCUGUAUUUUACUGAUCUUAACAUUCAUGGAGGCUUCAAUGUAGGGCUUUUUUGUUUACCAUUAUUUUGAGCUUUGAUGUGUGUCUAGGAUUUUACUUUGCCUAUAUUGUAUAUCAGGACUUUAAUAUCCAUUUGGGCCUGUCGAAUCUUACUUGCAUUCAUUUGUUUGGCUUGAAGUUUCACUAUUGAACAUCACUUAGAACUUUCUCGCUUACAAUUUAAAGUGGAAGCUGGUAAUUUGGUUGAUAGUAUGUGGCUUAACAUAUCUUGAUAGUCUUUGUCAAGCUAUAGAAAUUUGAAACUGGGUUAAGUAGAAAUUAUUGGAUAGUCUGAUAAAUCGAUGAAAUUUUAUUAGAGCAAUUUCAUUUUUCCAUUUAGGGUACUAAUAUGAUAUAAGUUCUUUAUUUAGAACUUCUGUAAGGCCUUUAUACACUUCUCUUUUGUUGUACGAAAUGAUGAUACUAAAAAUAAUGGAGAUUUUUUUGAAGUUCACUUUAUCAUUUAAAAUGUUAUUAUUAUAUUUUGUAUUUUCCUUUAUCGUUUUGCCAAGUAACCCUUCAUAAUAGAAAAAUUUUCAUUCUUCCUCUACCCUUACGCACGUUCAACACUUUUCUCAGUUUACCAUUUAACUAUUUUGCAGUUUAGGUAUUCCAAAGAAGAAGGGAUUCCCGUGGGAGAAUUUCAAAAUCGGAAUUUCACAUAACUUCUGAGGUGAUUGUCUUUCAUUUUAUAUACUCUUUUCGUCAAAUUUGUUACAAAGUUAUGUCUUUUACAGUUAGACUAUUUAUAUUGGAUAUAAACAUAUUUCCUUUGCAUCUCAUCUCUGGAGUGUCUAUUUUUUUUCUUUGUUUCUGUGUUUAUAAUUUUGUGUUUGAGUUAUUCUGAAAUGAAGAAGCCAAAAAAUCAAACACAUAUAAUGUAUUUGUGACCUUAAGUAUGUUGAUUUCAUAUUAUAUUUACUGCUAAUUACUUUGUCAUGUCGGUUCGAUUUGCAUUUCUCUUUGUUCAGAUUUGGUUUAUUUUUUCGACUUAAUAUCAACCCGUCUGAUGAAUUAUUAUCAGUCAUUUGUCAAAAUCAAUUUCCUUCACUCUGUUAAGAAUAAUUAAAUUGAGUAAAAUAAACUAGUUAGCCAAUGAGGUUUAAAAGUUUGUAUCAAGGAAAAUAUUCUCAAAUCUUUUUUGUGAAACUUAUAGAAAUAUACCUCCAUUCGUGUUGUCUACUCCAUUAAGGAAGUAGCUUGGAAUUACAAAAUGGUAAAAAGAAAAAGAAAUUAUGUUUUUAUGAUCAAAGUGCUAUGAUUGCUUUGUAGGUGCGUCUAUUUUAUACUAUUGAAUCUAUAACUUAUGAAAAGAUUUAGGUCAUUACAUGAACAUAUCUAUGGUGGGAUGUUGAAUUCAUCAAAGAUAUUUUCGAGAAGUAUUGAUCUAUAGUUGAUUUAACUAUUCUUGUUUAAAGAUCAUAAGGCAUUUGAGAGCAUAAGGGUUAAGUAAUACAUUUAGGUGCCUACCAAAUUCUAUUGGAUGACUAUUUUUCAUAUGGAGGUUAGAUUGUGCAUAUGAAUAUGCAAUUAUCAUCUUAAUAUUUUAUGGGUCCAUGUUUUACCCUUCAAAAGGAAAAUAUUGUUGUAUUUUUUCUGAGGAAUUGAUGAAUUUUUUAUUUAUUUAUUUUUUUGUUUUAUAUGAUUGAAACAUCUAGGAUCCUGAAACAAAAAAAAAGCCUCGAGUGAAGAUUUACGUUGACAAAGAAAUUGGAAGGAAAAAGGGAGAUGCACUUGUAACAUAUCUGAAGGUAAUGCUUUUUGCUCAAAGUGCUUGGAGUAACAUGUAUCGUUGGAAUGUUUUCAUCUUUGAUUGUUUUGUCUUCAAUGAUGUUAUUGUGGAUUGAGGUCAUUGUUGUUGUGUUAUUAUUGUUGUUAUUAUUAAUAUUAUUGUUAUUUUACUAGGCAUUAGGAACCUUCAGUGGACCUGUCCAUCCAAAUAACGGAUGGAGCUCCUCUAAGGCCUGGUGGCUAGAUCCCAAUGUCAGUUACAAAAGCUAAGUUUGCGCAAAAAGGUAACGUGUGGAAUGCAUUGUUCAUUUUCUGCAUUUGUUUCUGGAUAUUAAUUCCAUUGCCUAUGUUCAUUUCGUUGUACGAAUUGAAUAUUUUAAAAUUUAACUUCUCUUUUGGUGUUAAUUAACCUCCAGGGGAUAAAUUCAUGUAAAACAAGUGGACAAGAAUAAGAAGAAACUUUAGAAGAUUGAAAGGAAAAUGUUACGUUGGGUGAGUCCUUUUCUCACAAAAGAUUAAAUUUUUAUUAUGUAGGGUUUGAUCCCCAAUAUGAAAAUAUAGGUAUGUUGAUUUGAGUUUUAAGUGUUCAUUCUAUUUUUGAUUUCAUUAAUACAAUUUUCUAAAAGGUCAAGUUAAAUUGGAUUCUUUUUUGUUUUAUUUUUUGUCCAUACAUUGUAAAAAAAGGUGAAACAAAACCCUUGGUAAAUUCAAUCGACGAUUAUAGCUGUGUCUUCAUCCUAUUGCGAUUUUGCGGCGGCUUUUUGUAUAUGUUGCUGUGAUUUGCUCAUUUGCAGUAGCCUUUGUACAUCUUGCUGCAAAUUCUGAUGGUUAUAUCUUUAAAUUGUGAAGUAUGUCUAUUUAGAAUUUUCCUCCAGUCUAUAAUUUUUUUUCAAAAAAUUUUAGUACAAAUAAAUUCAGAAGGCUGAGAUAUAAUCCUAAAACCUUCAUUCUUGAGUAUCUUUCUUCCACUAUCUUCAACCUUAUUGCUUUUCUAUUUGAUUUAUUUAGUGGGAAUUUUGAGAGAUCCUUUUUGUUUUCUUUCAACCUUAUUGCUUCGUUUCAGACGCUUCUCAAGUAUUGUCAAGCAGAAAUUUUGACGAUUGGGAUUACUGUUCCUGGGUCAAGUUUCUUGCGAUUUAGGUUCUCGGGUGGUGGAAUUUAAUAUUGUUGGUGAGGUCAUUCUUCUUCUUCUACUAGAAUUUAUAGAUUUCUAUUCUAUGGGUUUCAAAUUAGAAGGUUUUUUUUGUUUGGGUAAAAAUGAGGGUGUUUUGGUGACAGAUUUUUAAGAUUAUUCCUAUUCAUGUUAGCAUUCGUAUAAGUCACCGUUUGUUUCCGGUACAAAGUUUAUGGCCCUGCAGAAAUAAAAGGUAGCGAUAUUGAUUGGAUGGAGUUAACUUUGCAAUAAAAAAAUCCAAGCAAAUAGAAUUUGGCCAAUUUGGAAAACCAGCAUCCAUUUAAUCAUCACUUACGUAAAAAAAGUUCGGCACUUAAUAAAACAUUUUACAAUAAUUUUUGCUCUAAAAGAUGUAUCAAAUAAAUGAUUUUAUAUGUAACAAGCUACCAAGAAAUGUCACUGUAAACAUAAACAUAGAUUAAUUGUAAAGAUUUCAUCAACUUAGUUGAAUGAGCAUGUAUUGAGAAGACAGGAGAAGACAGAAGAAGAAAUCUAGGAAAUAGAUGUCAUGAUCCUUAUGCAAGCAUGCUUGUAUUCAAGCUAGAAAAAGCCAUCGAAUAUAUUAAAAAAAAAACAAAAACUUAGGGCUUGUUUGAGCCCCAUUGUUUUCAAAAAUGCAUUUUGAAAUAGUAUUAUGAUAGAAAGUGUGUGGUUAAAAAAUAAGAAAAAGAUUUAGAUUUUCAUGUAAUAUUAUUAAAAAAUAUGUGGUUGAUAUAGAGUCAAAUAACUAUUGAAGAAUGUAUUUUGAUAGAAAAAUGGGGAUUAAACACAAGCUUACUUUAUUAUUUUAAAAUAAGCAUGCAGGAUACAAAUGCGCAUUAUGUUGAUAGACGGCAUGUUCAAUAGGAUUUUGAACUCAAUCCUAUACCAGGAAACUAAGAAUUUGUAAUGUGCUACAGAUUGCGGAAUUUUAGGAUAAUGAAAGAUGGAUUGAUAAAUUGUUUUCGCUGGCUAUAUGUUGGCUAGAUUUCCUUUUACACGCAUAUAAAGUGUCACCUCCAAAUCCACAUAUGCAGAAUCCUCCCUACUUAAUCUGUGCAUAUACACUUUGUUACUUAGACUUGGCCGGAAGUGUCGGAUAAAAUCAAUUGUUGAACAUGGGUACUCUUUUUCUUCUUUGGGUUUUCAAAAUCAUUCUGUAAAUUAUUCAUGAUCUCUCUUUCUUAGUUUCAAGCUAGCUUGAUGAUGAUGAAUGAAAGUACCCGAUGAUUGGAAGUCGGUAAGAAAUUCCUCUUUCAUACCUUCAAAUAGGCAUGUUUUUAUUUGGAUACAUUGAUAUAUUUUCAUAUAGACAAACACAUAAAGCACAAAGGGAAUAUAAAGAACAAAGAGAAAUUCUACCCACAACUAAAGGAAACUUUUGCACAAACAUCUAGAUACAUGAACGAUAUGGUUCUCUGACAUUUGUGUACGUUGGCAUAAAUAUGAAUGUCAUCAAGGCAAUUACUCAAAUAUUUAUGUGCUAAUUAUCAUUAGUGCAUUUGUUCAUAUUCUGUUAAUAUUUGAUUGCACUGGCAUUGAGGAUUUGUUUCUCAAUUAAGUUAAUCAGAAUGAGGAUAUAUAAUACCUUGUUCUUAAUCAUGAUGCCGCCUAAAUUUUUAACCGGAAAUGGUGAGAGUUAGUGUCUUCAAUAACGCUCUUAAGAGCAUGUACAAUGCAGAGAAGCUAGGGAAGUGUCAGGUCAUGAUUCAACCAUCCUCCAAAGUCAUUAUUAAGUUUCUCUUCAUGAUGCAAAAGCAUGGUAUACAAAACAUUGUGUGGUGUUAAUUUGUUGUCUAUUUACGCAUGCAAUAUUCUAUCUAUACACUUAAUUCUUUAUCAUGUCUGUAGGAUACAUUGGAGAGUUUAAGUACAUCAAUGAUCACUGAUCUGGUAAAAUUGUGGUUGAACAAAUGUAGAGUCAUCAGCCCUGACUUUGACGUUGCUAUCCAGGAAAUUGAGGAAUGGAAUGCAAGGUUGCUUCCCUUCUGGCAGGUAAUAUAUAAAAAAACAUUGUACAUUAACAUUUGGAUGAUGAUCACUUGGUGAAUAUUGAGCUAUCAACCUGGCCAUAUGAUAAUAUAUAUGUUUUGCACAUGCACCUUUUAUUUCAUGGAAUAGUAUUAUCAAGGAGACUCUAUCUCUUAUUCAAACUUUUAUUAAGGUAUCUUCAAUUAGCAUGUCAAUCGGAUAUCUCCAUUCUUAAAUAGCUUCACAUCUUCCUAUCGUAAAAUGUGAUUAUUAUGUUUGGUUGUACCCUCAUUUCAUUCGUCUUUUCCCCAGUAGGUCGAGCAAAUUGUACUUUGUAUAGUAAUUAGACUUCAAAAAAAAUAUUAUCCUGCCUCAUCAGAUGUACAAUGGUAUGCUGCCAAUCCCAAGAGAAUGCUAAUUGCUGAAGUCCACAAAAUUAAAUUUCAUUUUUCUUACUUUCCUUCCUUCAAUAAAUAUCUUCUUUCAAUUGUUUUAAGCUCAUUUUACUUUUCAGUUUUGGAUACAUUUGUUGGCAUCAUGGAGCAUGAAGAGGCUAGGAGAAAGAAGGUUGAGGGGGAAAGUGUGCAAUCCCUGUGCAAACUAGUUUCUGAUGUAAUGUAAGUGAUCCCUACUUGAAUCAACAUAGUACUUAAAAGAAUUGAGGAAGUGUGUUCCAUGCACUGGUUGCUUGGAGCUUAAUCUUGAUUCUUUAAAUGCUAACUCUUCGUUUCUCGUUCCAUGCACUGGUUGCUUGGAGCUUAAUCUUGAUUCUUUAAAUGCUAACUCUUCGUUUCUCGUCUAAGCAUUUUAUCAAAUAGCUUGUGCGGGAUGAAGAAAUUAAUUUGACAAAGUGGCACUUAGAUGAUUGCUUUUAUUACCUUGACAAUUUUUCCAAGAUUACAACUUUUGUUGCAAGUCUUCAAGGUUAUUAAGUUCCAUUUGCCAUGUAAUAAAAACUAGGUUGUGUCGAAAUUAUUUCCUACUUAUAUGAUGUUUCACAAAAAAGUUGAGUAUCGAAUAAUUCUUAACUUUGUAGAAACGAGUACAUAAAAAAUGUUAUUUAAGAAGUCCCCUAAAAAAAAGGUGAAAAAAAAUCUAUUUCUAGAAACACUAAAAUUACCUUCGAAAUGACAAAGCUCGUGCAUGGCACGGGCAAUAAACUAGUAUAAAUAGAAGGGUGCAUGAUAUAGAAGAAGUUACUUAUUUUAAUGGUAGUCACUGUACAUAGUUUUUUUGAUAGCUUACAGCAUUUACAUAUUUCCAGAAUUCAAAAGAUAGCAAAAUAAUUAAACCAACUCUUUCAUCUGAAAACAAUAAGUUUUCUGGUUUCUUAACUAAAGACUCAAUAUUAAGUUACUACAGUACGACGAAUUUCGUGUAUUAAAAUACAAAAAUUGUUACAAAUUGUAUUUUGAUAAAAUACAAGUGAUUUGACCUUCAUGUAAUUGCAAAAUUGUAAAAAUCUUCUGAUAAAUGAUCUGAAUAUUUGAAGACGAGGGGUCACGUGGCUUGAAACCUAGUCUUCGAUAAUUUUUUGAAAAUUUGAUUUUUUGAGACUUGACCUAUUCAGCACUUAGAUUGCUUGGACUUGAACUUGGAUUUGAUUUGAUGUAAAGAAAACUUUGAUCUUCUUGAAUUUGGUGUGAACCUGUUUUGUUCAAAGAAGAUUUUGAUUUUCUUAGGGUUCAAAAGAUUUGGGUUUGAGAGGAUUUAUUCUCUUCCUUCGACGUUGAAAUUUUUUCAGUACUUCGUAAUUGUCUUCUAUGCUUUCACUUCUUCUUGAUUUUCUUCUCCCUCCUCCCCUUAUGGAUAAUUGGUCCUAUUUAUAGGGGAAUUUCCGUGCUAAUUUUGGUAAUACUAAAUUAUAUUUAAUUAAAAUGAAUAAUUGAGUAAUUUAUUAUUUUAUUUAUUUAUUUAAAAUGUGAUAUCGGCUUUUCGGUUUUAUGGACUAUAGUAGGCUUCAAUUUAAUUGGCAAAUGAUUUAAAUUGAUCCAAUCCAUUUUUUAAAAAUUUUUUUAUAUCAACAAAUGUCCCCUCAAGAUUUAUUUAUUUAUUAUGAAAUAAAUAAAUAAAUCAUAAUAAAUAAAUAAAUCUUGAUUUUCGAUUUUUUUUUCGCCUAUUUAUUUGAGUGAAUUAUGAGAUUUGAAAACAGGUUUGUUAAAUCUAGCAAACAGAGGUAAAUAAAUGUUUUUCCUUCCCCUCCCCCCUCCCUCUUGUUUGUAUUUUUUUUAUCCUUCUCUUGGUUUCAUCGUUGACCCUUUAUUAUUUUUUUAAUAUUUCUCGAUUUCUGCAGCCAGCGGAAAAAAAAUGGCGGCGGAAACCAUUGAUUUGGAAUUGGUUUAGGAAUUGGAAUUAUUAUCUCCUUUGUAUAUUUUUAUUUUUAAAUUUUUUUUAAUUAUUAAUUAGCUUUCUUGGUUUCUGUAAAACCAAACAAUUGUGGGCAGAAACCAAAAAACCAUGGUUUCUACCAAAUUUUUUUUCUUCUUUUUCCCCUUUAUUUAUUUUUUCAAUUUCUUUCUUUUUAUUUCUUUUUAGUUCUUUUCUUCUUCAUUUUUUUUUAUAGAAUGUCUUUUUAUUUUGGGUUGAAUUUUGAUUUUUGUUUUAUUUUUUCUUAGUGUGGGUAUUUUAUUGAAGUCGAAACUAACAUUCUUCAUUUUUUUUUUCAAGAACUCAACUUUUGAAGUAAGCCGAGAAUUUUGAGGUUUGAGGGUUUUGUGUGUGUGUGUGGAAAUUAAAUUUUUGUGCUGCAACUACUUUAGAAGUUGGAAAAUAUAUGCUUAUGAACAAACUUAAAAUUACAAACCUUUUCAUAUGAAUUGAGGACCAAGGACUCUCACUUUUCACCAUCUAAUGCACUUUUUGUUUAGGACUAAGAAUCUGUUCCUUCGACUGUCCAAGACAUUUUGUGUUGAGGAACAAAGACUUGUUCGUUCGAUCAUCCAAUGCGCUUUAUGUUGAGGAUCAAGGAUUGGCUCCUUCGAUUGUCCAUGGCGUUGAGGACCAAGAACCAGCUUCUUCGACCAUUCAAGACAUUUUGUGUUGAGUACUAAGGACUUGCUUCUUCAACCGUCCGAGGGACUUUGUGUUGAGGACCGUCCAAGGCACUUUGUAUUUAGGACCAAGGGCUGGCUCCUUCGACUGUCCAAGGCACUUUGUGUUUGGGACAUUUACAUAUUUGGAAGGCUCGUAAUUUUAGAUGAUAAUGAAUUUAAGAGAUUUACUACCCCUUUUUAUUUGCUUUCUUUUUUCUUUUGCAUGAUAGGAAUAAGUUCCAAUGAUAAAGUAUACUCUAACAUACACGAAAUUAUUGAGCUUAAAAAUUAAGGCAAAAGUUAUUUGCGUUUCAAAGAUACCAAUUUGAAGUACCAUGCCUAGACUUGCCAACGAAUGAUCCUUCUCCUGACCUCCUGAGCCAUUGUUGGAGUUGUAUAUGCCUACCAUUAGUGAAUGUCACGAAAGUUUGGAUAUUGGCAAGUGCAACCACUUCCGCAGAGCAUGGAGUGCAUCCCAAAGGCUGAANUUGGUUGUACCCUCAUUUCAUUCGUCUUUUCCCCAAUAGGCCAAGCAAAUUAUACUUUGUGUAAUAAUUAGACUUCAAAAAAUAUUAUCCUGCCUCAUUAGAUGUACAAUGGUAUGUUGCCAAUCCCAAGAGAAUGCUAACUGCUGAAGUCCACAAAAUUAAAUUUCAUUUUUCUUACUUUCCUUCCUUCAAUACAUAUCUUUUUUCAAUUGUUUUAAGCUCAUUUUACUUUUCAGUUUUUGAUACAUUGUGCUGAUUACAUCUGCUGGCAUCAUUGACCAUGAAGAGGCUAGGAGAAAGAAUGUUGGGGGAAAAAAAGUGCGCAAUCCCUGCGCACAUUAGUUUAUGAUGUAAUGUAAGUGAUCCUUACUUGAAUCAACAUAGAACUUAGAAUUGAGGAAGGGUGUUCCAUGCACUGGUUGCUUGGAGCUAAAUCUUGAUUCUUUAAAUACUAACUCUUCGUUUCUUGUCUAAGCAUUUUAUCAAAGAGCUUGUGCAGGAUAAAGAAAUUAAUUUGACAAAGUCACUUUGGCGAUUGCUUUUAUUACCUUGAUGAUUUUUGUUAUCCAAGAUUACAACUUCUGUUGCAAGUCUUCAAGGUUAUUAGGUUCAAUUUGCCAUGUAAUAAAAAUUAGGUCGUUUCGAAAUUAUUUCCUACUUUCAUAUGUUUGAUAAAAAGGUUGAGUAUCGAAUAAUUCUUUAACUUUGCGUAAGCGAGUACAUAAAAAAUGUUAUAUUAUGCACCAAAGAUUUAAGAAGUCACCAAAAAAAAAAAAAAGUGGAAAAAAUUUUAUAUAUUCUAGGAACACUAACAUUACCUUCGAAAUAACAAAGCGCGUGCAUGGCAUGGGCAAUAGAUUAGUAGUACAAUAAAG
This 10136-nucleotide long non-coding RNA is filed under the name Olea europaea subsp. europaea. The record is from RNAcentral. Lineage: Eukaryota; Viridiplantae; Streptophyta; Magnoliopsida; Lamiales; Oleaceae.